This 241-nucleotide ribosomal RNA is filed under the name uncultured bacterium. RNAcentral's name for it is "partial 16S ribosomal RNA". It matches the Rfam family "Bacterial small subunit ribosomal RNA", at positions 29 to 299 of the family's 1533-position model. The record is from RNAcentral.
AACGAACGCUGGCGGCAGGCCUAACACAUGCAAGUCGAACGCUCCGCAAGGGGAGUGGCGCACGGGUGAGUAACACGUGGGAACCUACCUUCUGGUACGGAACAACCAAGGGAAACUUUGGCUAAGACCGUAUACGACCUCCGGGUGAAAGAUUGAUCGCCGGAAGAGGGGCCCGCGUCCGAUUAGGUAGUUGGUGAGGUAACGGCUCACCAAGCCUUCGAUCGGUAGCUGGUCUGGAGAG